GGGCCCGCACAAGCGGUGGAGCAUGUGGAUUAAUUCGACGCAACGCGAAGAACCUUACCUAGCCUUGACAUCCUUGGAACCUGCCCUAAAAGGCGGGGUGUCCUUCGGGAAAUCAAGUGACAGGUGCUGCAUGGCUGUCGUCAGCUCGUGUCGUGAGAUGUUGGGUUAAGUCCCGCAACGAGCGCAACCCUUGUCUUUAGUUGCCAUCAUUUAGUUGGGCACUCUAGAGAGACUGCCGGUGUCAAGCCGGAGGAAGGUGGGGACGACGUCAAGUCAUCAUGGCCCUUACGGCUAGGGCUUCACACGUGCUACAAUGGACGGUACAAAGGGUCGCGAAGCCGCGAGGUGGAGCUAAUCCCAAAAAGCCGUUCUCAGUUCGGAUUGGAGUCUGCAACUCGACCCCAUG
Molecule: ribosomal RNA, 406 nt
Filed under: uncultured bacterium
Lineage: Bacteria
Description: bacterial SSU rRNA
Rfam family: Bacterial small subunit ribosomal RNA
Source: RNAcentral